RNAcentral lists this ribosomal RNA (253 nucleotides) under uncultured prokaryote. Its description in RNAcentral is "partial 16S ribosomal RNA". It matches the Rfam family "Bacterial small subunit ribosomal RNA", at positions 524 to 776 of the family's 1533-position model. The record is from RNAcentral.
UACGGAGGGUGCAAGCGUUAUCCGGAUUCACUGGGUUUAAAGGGUGCGUAGGUGGGUAUGUAAGUCAGUGGUGAAAUCCCCGGGCUUAACCUGGGAACUGCAUUUGUGACUGCAUGGCUGGAGUGCGGCAGAGGGGGAUGGAAUUCCGCGUGUAGCAGUGAAAUGCGUAGAUAUGCGGAGGAACACCGAUGGCGAAGGCAAUCCCCUGGGCCUGCACUGACGCUCAUGCACGAAAGCGUGGGGAGCAAACAGG